CAAGCCCUGGAAACGGGGUCUAAUACCGGAUGUUCACUUUCGGGCGCAUGCCUGGGGGUGGAAAGCUCUGGCGGUGCAGGAUGGGCCCGCGGCCUAUCAGCUUGUUGGUGGGGUGAUGGCCUACCAAGGCGACGACGGGUAGCCGGCCUGAGAGGGCGACCGGCCACACUGGGACUGAGACACGGCCCAGACUCCUACGGGAGGCAGCAGUGGGGAAUAUUGCACAAUGGGCGCAAGCCUGAUGCAGCGACGCCGCGUGAGGGAUGACGGCCUUCGGGUUGUAAACCUCUUUCAGCAGGGAAGAAGCUCCUUGGGGUGACGGUACCUGCAGAAGAAGCGCCGGCUAACUACGUGCCAGCAGCCGCGGUAAUACGUAGGGCGCAAGCGUUGUCCGGAAUUAUUGGGCGUAAAGAGCUCGUAGGCGGCUUGUCGCGUCGGAUGUGAAAGCCCGGGGCUUAACCCCGGGUCUGCAUUCGAUACGGGCAGGCUGGAGUUCGGUAGGGGAGAUCGGAAUUCCUGGU
This 521-nucleotide ribosomal RNA is filed under the name uncultured Streptomyces sp. RNAcentral's name for it is "bacterial SSU rRNA". It matches the Rfam family "Bacterial small subunit ribosomal RNA", at positions 144 to 674 of the family's 1533-position model. The record is from RNAcentral. Lineage: Bacteria; Bacillati; Actinomycetota; Actinomycetes; Kitasatosporales; Streptomycetaceae.